CAAUAAUUUCUACAAUCAUCACUAGGAAAGGCUGGGUGAAUUAACAGAACUCUCCCAUUCCCUGCAGUGGUGGCCAUCUUUGUGUUACCGCAGGGCAGGUUGUGUGGAGGCGCCCAUAACUGCUGGUACACUGGGUAAGCCACCAUUCUCCCUUCCAGUGUUGGGCCUUCAAUGACUGAUUACCUGACUGAUCAAUCCUCCUGAUUACCUGACUGGUUAGAUAUACAGCAAACUACUAAUAAGAAAAAAAAUAUAAAUUAUUAUUUAUACCCAAGUACUUAGUAAUAUUAACAACAUAGUUUGAC
This is a non-coding RNA of Pelobates cultripes (western spadefoot toad), 305 nucleotides long. Lineage: Eukaryota; Metazoa; Chordata; Amphibia; Anura; Pelobatidae. The record is from the annotation of a GenBank genome assembly.